CCUACGGGAGGCAGCAGUGAGGAAUAUUGGUCAAUGGGCGAGAGCCUGAACCAGCCAAGUCGCGUGAGGGAGUACUGCCCUAUGGGUUGUAAACCUCUUUUGUCGGGGAGCAAAAGCCGGACGUGUCCGGCUGUGAGAGUACCCGAAGAAAAAGCAUCGGCUAACUCCGUGCCAGCAGCCGCGGUAAUACGGAGGAUGCGAGCGUUAUCCGGAUUUAUUGGGUUUAAAGGGUGCGCAGGCGGAUUUUUAAGUCAGCGGUCAAAUCGUGGGGCUCAACCCCAUCCAGCCGUUGAAACUGGGGAUCUAGAGUGUGCGAGAGGUAUGCGGAAUGCGUGGUGUAGCGGUGAAAUGCGUAGAUAUCAGGAGGAAUACCGUUAGCGAAGGCGGCAAUCUGGCUGGAAACUGACGCUGAGGUGCGAAAGCGUGGGUAGCAAACAGGAUUAGAUACCCCUGUAGUC
RNAcentral lists this ribosomal RNA (458 nucleotides) under uncultured bacterium. RNAcentral's name for it is "partial 16S ribosomal RNA". It matches the Rfam family "Bacterial small subunit ribosomal RNA", at positions 338 to 795 of the family's 1533-position model. The record is from RNAcentral.